CGACGGAACAGCAGAACCUGAACAAGGACGGCAGCGUUUCACCUGAGGAGAGGAACUUCAUGGACGGGAGCCAUUGGGAAUAUUAAAGGACGUUCACUCUCAGCAAGUUGACAUCAACAGUUGACACAAGAUCAAUGAGGAGUUCAGAAGAAUAACCACAGUUCAUCUGGAGCGAAACUUUUUGUCGAAAUUGGACAAUUGCAC
Long non-coding RNA from Anarrhichthys ocellatus (wolf-eel), 204 nucleotides. RefSeq lists it as uncharacterized. Lineage: Eukaryota; Metazoa; Chordata; Actinopteri; Perciformes; Anarhichadidae. The record is from RefSeq and is a predicted model, not a curated record. The transcript is spliced from 3 exons.